UUCUGCUUGAUUUUGCCCAGGGAAAAAUUCAGCUUUCUACCUACUGGAGCAGGGACAAUACACCAUGGAAGUGACCAACACUAAGCAGCUCCAGUCUCGCAAUGCCACCACGAUGCCAUCACACCAGUGACAGGGUUGGCACCAGGCCAGCUGGCUGGGCCUCAGCCUGGUUUCACUCUGCAUCUACAAAAGAAGAGGCUGAGAAAAGGUGCAGUUUGUUUUCUCAGAGUGACACAGAGCUGUCAGUGAGGCCUCAGUGGCUUGUGCUGUCCUGUUUUUCUGCAGCCAGUUUCACACUGCAUUCAGAAAACACAACUGCAAUGGCCCAUCAGGGCUCAGCUGCUGCUAAUGAAUGGCUGGAGCAUGAAUUUUAAAUGAACAUUACUGCCCGUUUUGGCAGACUUUGAGAGGAUAACUCAUUAAUUAGGCAGCUCAAAAAGCAAAGUAAAAUCCUAAUCACCUUCCCUGGAUUAGCACACAGGGUGAGAAACAAAGCCUGCAUAAAUGUGAAGAAACUUCACUGAACAGGGCAAUGUCAGCUCAGACCUCAUCCCAGCAAAGUCCUGAUCCUCUACUGCUUUGAUGGCAUUCUCCUCUAGCACCUGGGCUAGACAGCAUGAAGCAUUCACUAUGAAAAUUCCCCAUGCACCAUCACAGGUGUCUAUGCCAAGUUUCAACACCUGCCCCAUAGUCCUCAUGCCUGGAUAGGACAGGGAGGUGUCCUGGAGCAUCCCAGGGGCCCUGGC
Molecule: long non-coding RNA, 746 nt
Organism: Parus major (Great Tit)
Lineage: Eukaryota; Metazoa; Chordata; Aves; Passeriformes; Paridae
Exons: 3
Source: RefSeq, a predicted model, not a curated record